GAAGAAGAAGAUGAUGAUGAUAAGGAGGAGGAGGAGGAAAGCACACGGGAUUGCAGAAGUACGCUUUUCAUGUGUGGUGGUUCUCGAAGAAGAGGGUGGUCUUUAGGGCAAAUGUUGGACCCUAGAGCCAGAUGGGUUCAAGAAUGGAAUAGGGUCUUUCUUCUUGUGUGCGCCACUGGACUUUUUGUGGACCCUCUCUUUUUCUACGCUCUGUCUGUUAGCGAUACCUGCAUGUGCCUUUUCAUCGACGGGUGGUUUGCUAUCACGGUAACGGCUCUCCGGUGCAUGACUGACGCCUUGCACGUGUGGAACAUGUGGUUGCAGCUCAAAAUGGCCAAGAAACCAUCUAGUGGUGGUGGUGGUAGUGAUGGUACUAGAGGUGGACCACGCUUGAUGACAAGCCCAAGCUCAGUGGCCCUGAAGUACCUCAAGGAAAAGAGAGGAUUUUUCUUUGAUCUGUUUGUUAUUCUCCCCCUACCCCAGAUUGUACUAUGGAUAGCAAUUCCAUCCUUAUUAGAGAAAGGGUCAGUGACUGUAGUGAUGACUAUAUUCUUGAUCAUAUUCCUCUUCCAAUAUCUUCCGAAGAUCUACCACUCGGUUUGCCUUCUUCGUCGCAUGCAGAAUCUCUCUGGCUACAUAUUUGGAACUGUUUGGUGGGGAAUAGCCCUCAACAUGAUUGCAUAUUUUGUUGCCUCCCAUGUAAGUUCACUUUCUUUAAUUCAUUCACGCUACUUACCUCUCUUUUUUCUUAGAUAAUUCUUUUCACUUCACUUCUUCUUGCGCUUAUAUUCCAUAUAUAUUCUGUGUCGUUUUGUCAUUCCUUUAUGGAAUGUUUAUCUAAAGUGAGACCCUGCAAACUGAAGUGCUCGUGGAUAUACAAAAUCCAAACAUUCUGCUUUUUUUCAUUUCCUUUUUCUUUAAAAUAAUUAAAGCCAUUGAUGAUGUAAUUGGAGUCUAAAAAGUCUAAACUUUAUUUCAAUCACAAGGCACAGUAAGGCUGAUCGAUCCUUUUCCUGUGCCUAAGUCUUAUAUUUGAUGACACGCUUCAUACAUAUGUACAUGGGUCCAACAGUUCCCUUGACCGACCAAAAAGAGAAAAGAUUAAUCUCCCCAUACUUUAAAUCUACAAGAACUCAUCGUCGUGAUUCAUGAGAUGGGAAAUAGUAUAUAUUUCAAUUUCUUUAGCCAACUACAGUAGUUCACCUAUCACUUCAAUUGUUUUUCGUGCAUAUAUUCAUUGAGACUCGCAAAGCUAAAAGAAAUUAUCAAAAAGCUAAAAGUUUUUUGUUCUUAUUUGAGGUUUUAGUAAUUAAUUAACCAAAGAAAUUUGUCAUCUUCGGUGCUUCAUGCCAUAAAUAAUCCCUUAAUUAUUUAAUUAAUUAGCGAAUUAAAUUUGUAAAAUUAAUGUGCAUUGGAACAAUUAAACUUGAGAUUAAUAUGAAGGGGGAAAAUCCUUUUGUUUGAAAUACUUGUAAAGCAAAAAUAUUCAGAAGCCAAGUAUUUUUGGCGAUUGAGUUGUAGAUUUUUUUCCAUGUUCUUGAUCUUUAGCUAGCUCUCUCUGGAAACGUUACAGGCAGCAGGUGCAUGUUGGUACUUACUAGGGAUCCAAAGGGCAGCAAAAUGCUUGAAAGAACAAUGCAGAGAAACACAGGGUUGCGGGCUGAGGUUAUUAUCUUGCAGAGAAACUAUUUACUAUGGAACAACAAACAAAGUGAGAGAUGGAGCAAGAUUAGCAUGGGCAGACAACAAGGUAGCAAGGGCUACAUGCUUAGACAGCAGUGAUAAUUAUGAUUAUGGAGCUUAUAAAUGGACUGUUCAACUUGUUACCAAUGAUAGCAGAUUGGAGAAAAUACUUUUUCCUAUCUUUUGGGGUCUAAUGACUCUCAGUACUUUCGGAAACCUGGAGAGCACAACAGAAUGGUUGGAAGUCGUUUUCAACAUCAUUGUUCUCACAAGUGGACUCAUUUUGGUCACCAUGCUGAUUGGAAACAUCAAGGUUUUCUUGCAUGCAACAACAUCAAAGAAGCAAGCAAUGCAGUUGAAAAUGAGGAACAUAGAGUGGUGGAUGAGGAAGAGACACUUGCCUCAAGGAUUCAGGCACCGUGUCCGUAACUAUGAGCGGCAGCGCUGGGCAGCAAUGCGCGGAGUCGAUGAAUGUGAAAUGAUCAGGAACCUCCCUGAAGGACUUCGGAGGGACAUCAAGUACCAUCUCUGCCUGGAUUUAGUGAGGCAGGUAAUUUUAUUCAACCAUUUUAGUUUUAAUUUUUAAACAUCUUCAGGCCCUUUUCAGUGCAAUUCCCAUCUCCUGAAAAUUCCAGAUAAAUAACUGAAUAGGCCUGGAGACCUCAUUUCUAUAAAGCCGAAUUACUAAUUUCAUGCCCAGCCCAAUUUUAAUGGAUCUGGAUUUGCAAGCAUCUUGCCUCUGUUCUCCCUAUAAAUUGUGCUUAUCAGAAUACUACAUCUGACUCUGAAAUCUCUACUAUUUUAGGUGCCACUUUUCCAACAUAUGGAUGAUCUGGUCCUUGAGAACAUUUGCGACCGUGUGAAGUCUCUCAUUUUCACAAAGGGAGAAACAGUAAGUUCCAAUAGUGUCACUCAGUUUAGUACAAGAUCUGUUUAUUGCAAGUGUUAGGCAUCUAUAUCCUCGAGUGUUUUGCAGAUAACAAGAGAAGGUGACCCUGUCCAAAGAAUGCUUUUUGUGGUAAGGGGUCAUCUUCAAAGUAGCCAAGUACUGAGAGAUGGAGUCAAGAGUUGCUGCAUGUUAGGUCCUGGGAAUUUCAGUGGAGAUGAGCUCUUGUCAUGGUGCCUAAGAAGACCCUUUAUAGAACGUUUACCGCCAUCCUCAUCAACACUAGUAACUCUGGAGACCACAGAGGCAUUUGGGCUAGAAGCUGAAGAUGUGAAAUAUGUGACACAACAUUUCAGGUACACAUUUGUUAAUGAAAGAGUGAAGAGAAGUGCAAGAUACUAUUCACCAGGAUGGAGAACUUGGGCAGCUGUAGCAAUUCAGUUGGCUUGGAGGAGGUAUAAGCACCGUUUGACGCUUACUUCGUUGUCAUUUAUCAGGCCAAGAAGACCUUUAUCUCGGUGCUCUUCCUUGGGGGAGGAUAGGCUCAGGCUUUAUACAGCUUUGUUAACUUCACCAAAGCCAAAUCAGGAUGAUUUGGACUUCUGAAAGCGACCAAAAGCUAGCCCAUAUAUUUCGAAAAUCAAUACUUUCUUCGUAGAAAAAGCACUUCUCUGAGUAUCACAAUGUGUAAUAUGUUCUUGUAUUGCUCAUUUAAGGGUUGCAAAUUAAUGUAUAAUAUUACUAAUGCUAAUAAUAGUUAUUUAAAGCAAUUCAUUUGGCUUAUAAGGGCUGUCUGUCAGCAAUAAAUUGAAUUCAGCCAGACGUAUACUAAGCAAAGAUUGAAUAAAAGUUGAAUUCGAGUCACCAAGCAUAAUUAGCAUUGGUAUUUGCUGAUAUCUAGAUAUUGGCUUAAUUGGUUAAGCUUAUGGUGCAUGAAUGAGCUCGAGCUUUCUACACAUAAAAACAAACAUAGUCAAAUGUUUGUUUUUUGCUCUAUCAUCGGAAGAUAUUACUAUUCAUUUG
Molecule: unclassified non-coding RNA, 3592 nt
Filed under: Hevea brasiliensis (rubber tree)
Lineage: Eukaryota; Viridiplantae; Streptophyta; Magnoliopsida; Malpighiales; Euphorbiaceae
Source: RNAcentral